Non-coding RNA from Odocoileus virginianus texanus, 2680 nucleotides. The record is from RefSeq and is a predicted model, not a curated record. NCBI's taxonomy places the organism in Eukaryota, Metazoa, Chordata, Mammalia, Artiodactyla, Cervidae.
GCCACUACCCCUUCCCAGACUGGACCUGGGUCUUCCGAUUUAUGGCAUCACCUUGGCGGGCCAUACCGGUCAUGCAGCUGGCAGCACUGUUACCUUUUGCUGCCAUCAACACGGCUCUUUACUCCCGGUAAAAUGACCUUAAUUUAUCAGGCAUUAUGACUAAUACCAGAUGAUUACGGCCAUUAAUAUUAAUGGUUUUCAGUCCCAGGAGGGGACUUGGGUGCUAAUUGGCACUCUUCUCUUUGCUUCUUUUCUCAAUACGGCUGCCGAUUUCCGAUGUUCUGCAUUUCAGCGUCUUAGUUUCAAAGGGAAAUAUCGCGUGAGGCAUUUUCUUAUUUCUGGAUGAUUCUCUCAUUCCAUUCCCUCAUUUCCUUCUGAUCCUGUAAGCAGUCUAGAAACACGCCGGAUGCACUGGGGGCUCCAGGAUACUGACAAAGGGCUGAGGUCACGGCUGAGCGGAAGACGGCUGCGUUGAGCUGCCGGGAGAGGCAGCGCUUUGCCCAGAGGAAGGGAGACAGCAGGGAAUGUGUACAUUUGCCCAGAAACAGAGCCCCGUCUCAGACACCCACGCCUUCCUCUAUCUCUAAUCAAACACUUUCUGGUCUUUUUAUAUAAGGUGGAAUCUAAAUCAACCCCUCCCAACACCCCGUCUCUGGGUUGCCUGAACAAAUGGGGUUGUUUGGGGGCUCAGAUCGGAGAGGACAGAUCACACUCCUCCUCCUUCUGGCUCUUAGGUUUUGGGGGCACUGGGAGCUGAUGUUGCCCGCGCUGAGAGAGAUGUCCUUGUCGUCUUUCCGUUUCCAGUGGAAGAUAGGUUGCAAAUAGCAGCCUGUUGCCAUGGUCACGAUGGCGCUUCCUUCUGGGGGCGGGGCGGAAAAUGGCCUCCCUGGGGGGUCCCUGGGCCGCCUCGCCCACUCGGGUUUGGGCCCCCUCUGCUGGGGCAUUCAUCUCAGAACGCCUUUCUGGAGCUGUAGGCGGGUGAGGUGCCAGAAGGCCCCUGGGCUGGGAUGGAGCGCUGGUAUCCUGACUGAGGCCACAGUCCAGCUCCGGGAAAUGGCAGCCGUGCCAGAAAAUGAGCAUGAAGUACUGCCAAACCUUCCGAUUAUCUAAAUGAGAACUUUGGUUUAUACGGUCACUCUCCCAAUUACUUUUAUUGUUGGCAAAGACGGCACAUCGUAAAAUUUUUUAAGAACGGUGUGGGCCAAACAAAACACGUCCGUGGGCCAGCCAUUUUGUCUGGCCGGCUCGGCAGUCGUUCCGCGACCAGAGCGGAGAAGCGUCACCCAAAAUGGCAGCCGGCGCGCUUUUGGGGUCGCGAGGUCAGCGAAUCCGGGCACACCGCUUUGUGAGGAGACGCGAGGCACUGGCAGGCAGAUUCUGAGCCACUGCUCCACCGGGCGAGUCCCGCCUAAUGGUGUUGAUCCUGGGCUCAUCGAGGGGCGCGUGGCCUGCGUCUGCCCCCGGCUUGCUGAGUGAGUUUGAACUCUCCGCCCUCCCAGGGUCUCCGCGUCUGUACCAUGAUGGGACUGGAUCAUUUCGGAGGGUCUGGCUCCUGCUCACUGACUGCCCCUCCUAUGCUCAUUUACUCUGCGUGACAUGAUGUCCACUCUGUGUGACGCCCAGAAAUUUCCACAGAUUUCAGUCAAGAGACUGCUGCCUCCAUCCAUUCACGUCUUCAUUACCAGUGAGUGACCUGUUGAACAGCCUCUGUGACGAUGGCUGAACUGGGAAUGGGAAUGAAGCCCUGAGGAGGACAGGCAAGAUCCCUGGCCCACAUGAGCUCACCUCCUGCUGGCAGAGGCAGGAAAAAUGGAAGGAUCAUCUGCAUUUCUGCUCAGACACUGGCUGCCGGCUAGACAUCCUUGAGAAGAGAGUCCAGAACAAGGCUCUCAUUGUCUCCUGCUCAGAAGACAGGCAGACAUGGAGUGACCCGUGGAGAAUCGUCUCCUGCAUCAGUCUGUAGGGCUGUUGGGAGAGCAAAGGAGUUCCUGAUGAGCGCUUUUGGGACGCUGUCAUUUUCGGCAUGGGCAUUGACUCUCACAGCUGGGAUCCUGCUAUUGGCAUUCCUUAGGCCUUAUCCUGUCAUCUUGGCCCUUUGGGGAGUCCUGGCGAGCUGAAAAUAAGAGAGGAGCAGUUUGGCAGAUGGAGUUUUAGAGACUUUUAAAACCGCAUGGCACAUCUACUUCCAUGAAAAGCAAGCAAACCCAUUUCCAUGGAGCCAGUCCAAGCCCUGGAGAAAGAGGCAUUCAUGAAGAUUUUACAGGCCAAAUUCCCCUACCUCUUCCCAGCUCCAUCUCCACGGCAGCCCCACACGAUCAUCCAAAGAACAGAAGGAGCGGUUUCUGGUGCUUUCCCAUACAAAGGCCUUAUCUCCUUAGACAUUCCAAAUAAGACAAGAGCUCCCAGAUAAUUCCAUGUUCCAUGAAAAAUAUGCAAUACUGAAUUAAAGGAAAACAUCUCUUCUCCACCUCUGCCACCUUCACCCCUGACUAUGGAUGCUCUGGGGGUGUGUUUGGUUAAUAAAGAAUUCUGUCUCAAAAAAGUAAGAGUCCACGACUAUUCUUAGCUAUUUUAGUUGAUGAACUGGGGAGAGAUUGGGGGAAAGUCAGCAGGUGAAGUUUUCUGGCCUGAUUUAUUGACCUUCCUUCAAAUAACCAGGAAUCGGGAUUCCUCGGUGGCU